UUUAUGCUACCUCCGUCCGGAAAUACUUGUCCUAGAGAUGAAUAUAUUUAGACUUAUUUUAAUUGUAGAUACAUCCAUUAUAUACAUUUUUAGGACAAGUAUUUCCGGACGGAGGGAAUAUGAA
Non-coding RNA from Hordeum vulgare subsp. vulgare (domesticated barley), 124 nucleotides. Lineage: Eukaryota; Viridiplantae; Streptophyta; Magnoliopsida; Poales; Poaceae. The record is from Rfam.